RNAcentral lists this ribosomal RNA (515 nucleotides) under uncultured bacterium. RNAcentral's name for it is "partial 16S ribosomal RNA". It matches the Rfam family "Bacterial small subunit ribosomal RNA", at positions 28 to 523 of the family's 1533-position model. The record is from RNAcentral.
GAUGAACGCUGGCGGCGUGCCUAAUACAUGCAAGUCGAGCGAAUGGAUUAAGAGCUUGCUCUUAUGAAGUUAGCGGCGGACGGGUGAGUAACACGUGGGUAACCUGCCCAUAAGACUGGGAUAACUCCGGGAAACCGGGGCUAAUACCGGAUAACAUUUUUAACCGCAUGGUUCGAAAUUGAAAGGCGGCUUCGGCUGUCACUUAUGGAUGGACCCGCGUCGCAUUAGCUAGUUGGUGAGGGAACGGCUCACCAAGGCAACGAUGCGUAGCCGACCAGAGAGGGGGGUAAGCCGCACUGGGAAUGAGCCACUGCCCAGAAUCCUACGGAAGGCAGACGUAGGGAAUGUUCCGCAAUGGACGAAAGUCUGACGGAGCAACGACGGGUGAGUGAUGAAGGCUUUCGGGUGAUAAAACACUGGUGUUAGGGAAGAACAAGUGCUAGUUGAAUAAGCUGGCACCUUGACGGUACCUAACCAGAAAGCCACGGCUAACUACGUGCAAGCCGCCGCGGUAA